Molecule: long non-coding RNA, 656 nt
Organism: Pongo pygmaeus (Bornean orangutan)
Lineage: Eukaryota; Metazoa; Chordata; Mammalia; Primates; Hominidae
Exons: 3
Source: RefSeq, a predicted model, not a curated record
GGGGCGCGGUCCCUGUGAACUCUAACUGUGCUCUUUUUCUCUAUGACAGAAAAGAAGACAUUGCAGCUAGGGAUUCGUUAAUUACUUUGUUCCCUCUUUUCCUCCCUCCCUCCCUUCCUCCUUUCCUUUCACUAACAUUUUGAUGGGUGUCCCAUGUGUGCUGGACAUCAGGCGGUGGACCAGGGAUACAAGAAACGAGACUCCUAACCCUUGAGAUGCUCUUCAUGUGGUGAGGGGUGCUGCAUACAAGCAAGCAGUUCACCAGGGCUCUGGGUGACAAGUGCCAUGGAUAGCAGUAGGGCAGCUCUCAGCCCAGCUCCUGGGGAAGGAGAGAGGGAGGAUGUCCAGGUGGAGGCUGGGGGUCAUUACUCAGGGAUCAGCAAUUUGCUAAAGAUGAACCGAUUCUAAGAAGAUGGUUUUCAAGCAACAACCAAUUUUAAAUCUGGACUGUGCAUCAGGCACCUCUUGGAUGGACAGCCCUGAAACAUCUUUCAUGCAACUCCUCAGGCAGCCCAGAAACAGCCAGGAACCAUUCGCCAGGAGCUGUGGCCAACUUAAUAACUUAUCCUUGUAUUGGUUUCCAUCCUCUGUCCUUCAUCCGUCUUGUCUUUUACUCCUACUUGCUGGAUCACACAUCCCAAUAAAUUUUUGCACUC